RNAcentral lists this long non-coding RNA (827 nucleotides) under Homo sapiens (human). RNAcentral describes it as "non-protein coding lnc-CCDC140-1:4". The record is from RNAcentral. Lineage: Eukaryota; Metazoa; Chordata; Mammalia; Primates; Hominidae.
AGCGGCGGUUUCUUCUCUUCGUGAAAAUCGUGAUCUCAUCUCUCCGUCCAUGGGCGAAAAAACAGCCAUCACCAGGCCAUUCACGCUUUGUGCUUUUGUUAGCAGAGCCCAGGCAGCCCUGCAGCCCACAUCUAGGGUACAAACGGAACGGCGGCGUUUUCCUUGUAUCAUUUAGAGGAAAUUUUUGAGCUGAACAGUAUUUUUUUUCUCCCUCUCUCUCUCUCUGAAAUAUUGCUGAGAUUUAAAGGAGGACGAAGACAACAGAUUCAUAGCUGGGUCUUGCUGUUUUCCUGACGCUGACCACAGCGGAUCUAGGUGGCUAUUUCGUUGGUGCACAGGCGUUCACAGAGGCAGAGAGGGGAGAAAGUUGUCAAACAGAUUCACAGACUGUCAAAGUGCGGCUUAAACCGAGUUCCUGGGCUCCCUCACUGGCUUCGUCCACUUAAACUUUUAACGUACACAUGUAGAGAGCUGAAACUCCAGGGGUAACAUGGGACAGGUCCUCUUGAUUUAAUGAAAACAGAAGAUCAACUGGACCGGGUAGCAAGAAAUAAGGCUUAAGAAGCACUGGUUUCUCUGCAGAAGACAGCAAGAUGCCCCAGGGAAUGUUUGUGAAAAAGGAUGACUGGAUGGGAAGCAAGCUGAAGAAAAAGAAGGAAAGAAAGAGAGAAAUCAGUAAAUCACCACACAAGAGGUGGAGAAGAGGACUUAUAAAUAUUGUUUCUAUGACAUUUGAAAAUAAAUGUUUUACUCCAUGCUAAUAGUGAAUGUGAUGUCUUCAGUUUGAAGGGCUUUAAGUGAAGCUCAUUAAAACCCACUAUUUUCCA